GCCACACUGUGUUGAUCCACUCAUGC
RNAcentral lists this non-coding RNA (26 nucleotides) under Homo sapiens (human). Lineage: Eukaryota; Metazoa; Chordata; Mammalia; Primates; Hominidae. The record is from RNAcentral.